UAGCUAGUUGGUGGGGUAAGGGCCUACCAAGGCGACGAUCGGUAGCUGGUCUGAGAGGAUGACCAGCCACACUGGAACUGAGACACGGUCCAGACUCCUACGGGAGGCAGCAGUGGGGAAUAUUGGACAAUGGGGGCAACCCCGAUCCGGCAAUGCCGCGUGUGUGAAGAAGGCCUGAGGGUUGUAAAGCACUUUCAGUGGGAAGGAGGGUUGAUAGGUUAAGAGCUAAUUAACUGGACGUUACCCACAGAAGAAGCACCGGCUAACUCCGUGCCAGCAGCCGCGGUAAUACGGAGGGUGCGAGCGUUAAUCGGAAUUACUGGGCGUAAAGGGUGCGUAGGUGGUUGAUUAAGUUAUCUGUGAAAUUCCUGGGCUUAACCUGGGACGGUCAGAUAAUACUGGUUGACUCGAGUAUGGGAGAGGGUAGUGGAAUUUCCGGUGUAGCGGUGAAAUGCGUAGAGAUCGGAAGGAACACCAGUGGCGAAGGCGGCUACCUGGCCUAAUACUGACACUGAGGCACGAAAGCGUGGGGAGCAAACAGGAUUAGAUACCCUGGUAGUCCACGCUGUAAACGAUGUCAACUAGCUGUUGGUUAUAUGAAAAUAAUUAGUGGCGC
Molecule: ribosomal RNA, 616 nt
Filed under: uncultured Legionella sp.
Lineage: Bacteria; Pseudomonadati; Pseudomonadota; Gammaproteobacteria; Legionellales; Legionellaceae
Description: bacterial SSU rRNA
Rfam family: Bacterial small subunit ribosomal RNA
Source: RNAcentral